Molecule: ribosomal RNA, 253 nt
Filed under: uncultured Eubacteriales bacterium
Lineage: Bacteria; Bacillati; Bacillota; Clostridia; Eubacteriales
Description: uncultured Clostridiales bacterium partial 16S ribosomal RNA
Rfam family: Bacterial small subunit ribosomal RNA
Source: RNAcentral
UACGUAGGGGGCAAGCGUUAUCCGGAAUUACUGGGUGUAAAGGGAGCGUAGACGGUAAUGUAAGUCUGGAGUGAAAGGCGGGGGCCCAACCCCCGGACUGCUCUGGAAACUAUGUUACUGGAGUGCAGGAGAGGUAAGCGGAAUUCCUAGUGUAGCGGUGAAAUGCGUAGAUAUAUGGAAGAACACCAGUGGCGAAAGCGGCUCUCUGGUCUGUAACUGACGCUGAGGUUCGAAAGCGUGGGUAGCAAACAGG